AGUAGAUCAAAGCCUGUUUCUACAGUGGAGGUAAUGCUUUCUGGCAUGCCGCAUUUUCCAGGGAUAUGUUAUGAGGACGCUGUCUCGGCCACGCUUGCAUCCAAUGUCUAUCUCGUAUCUGAUACGUGCUACAUUGAUAUCCUCCAGAACAAGCCUCUGGUUUGUGUAAACGGACAAUAUCUGAGGAGUCGAGUUGAGGGAUCUUUGAACUCUGGGUCAUAGAUGUUUGAAACUUCCAAAAUGCAAGCAUCUAGCACCAUGUAGUUCAUUCUAGUAUGUUAUGUAGAAUGGAAUGCAGGGCUCACAGGGCAUAUGCCUUGGGUGCAAAAAACCAAGCAAGUGGUGAGAGUUUAUAGUGCUGGUGAUUUGGGGCGAAAGGGCGAAAGUCCUUUUUCUUUGAUCAAAAUAUUACCUUUACAUGGUCAAACUAAAGUGGGGCUAUGUUUAGCUGUCAAAGAGUCAUUGUCUAAUUGAGAUGGCGAUGCCGCAGCAAGGUGAGUGGAGGAAUUUCAAGAUUGAAGACUGUGAGAUAACAAGGAUCUGAGGCAAUCGUCCAGAAAGCUUGCUCCGAUGGCUCAAACUACCCGAAGUUUGCAAGAUACUUCGCAAUUAUCAGAGCUACCGUUCCUCCCAGCAGGCCCACCAGUGGAUCCUUGCUCUUGUUUCAUUGCAACGCCUUACAGGUAAAGUUUAUGCUUUCUCUCGCUGGCCUGUGCUCAAGAAUUUUAGUACUGGACACAGAGAGCGCACUAGCUAGAAAAUCAAGCGACUCGCUAGUUUUGGACGAUGAGCGCUGGCAGAGAUAGGUAGCAACAAUAUAGAUGCGGUCUCGAGCUCCAUUUGGGCAGCCAUGGACGAUUACAAGGACAGAGAAGAAACCUCCAACCUCCCUAUGCCAAUGGAGCUUGAGAUGAGUGCCCAGUUCCCACGAUUGAGCAUUACAGACUUCAAGAAACCACUUGCACUCAUAAAAAUCGCGUGAGACAAAAGGGAAAGUGCAAGUCGUCUUUGAGAGCUAGGGCUUUAGUGCUACAAUGUAGCAGUAAUGCGGGAAGCGAUCUCGCGCAAUCCGGGCCCCUCUCGGAACGGUGGAGGUAAGGAUUGUAAUUCUUUCUGGGAUUUUGUAGCGCUUAGGAGAUCCAGGCGCAAGUUUAUGAGAAAGAGAUUUUCUCAGUCAGGCAAAAAGCUGAGCGUUCAAGUUGAGUGAUCUUUUAACUCAGCUGUUUUACUCCAUAUUGAACUUAAACGUAUGUGCUUCUUUCUCAAAA
Molecule: long non-coding RNA, 1268 nt
Organism: Selaginella moellendorffii
Lineage: Eukaryota; Viridiplantae; Streptophyta; Lycopodiopsida; Selaginellales; Selaginellaceae
Exons: 5
Source: RefSeq, a predicted model, not a curated record